CUAACCGCGUCAUCGGCGCGUAGUGGGGUGACGAUCCUGUGUCCGUCUCUGUUCUGAAUAUCGAUCGUAGCCAAGCUAGCAGUCAUUGCCAUUUUAUUACAAUGUCACCGAAGUACAUUAAGUCGUUGUUUCCUAAACGUGGGCGGCAUUUCGCUGUGGCAUGCUAGGCCAGCUGCAAUAUAUUUAAACAUUUCUCAGUGUUUUAAAUUAUCGUAUCGUCCGGCAAUCGACGCUGAGAAGUGGGCACCUGGUGUAGAUUAUGUUAGCCAGCUGUUGGUUUAUGGAGGAGAAAUGAAAACAGUCAUUUCAUUCUAUUCGAACAAUCAUUCGAUCGAUGCUUUCUUUAUGAAAAGGGAGGAAAGUGAUUCAGCUGGCCUGCCCUAUAGCCAGUGUUCCUCAGUCGGGUAGUAUCAGUGCUGUUUCUGGUUUUCAAACGAAUUACGUUUAAAUGGCUAACAUUGAUCGAGGACCGCAGAGAAAAUUCUAAAGCCGGCAGUAGUGCUGCUAUCACUAGAUCGGUGUGGUGCCUCGCAGCUGGAGCAAUCAAGUCGCAGCCACAAUGCUAACCGCUCUGGCAGUGCAAGCUCCAUUUAAUGGAUGAUGCUAAUUGAUUACUUCUGGAUUAAAGACCCUCAAGAGCAUAAAAAAGAUAUGUCGACCGCUUCACUGAUUUCCUACGGAAUCACUUUCCCCAUCGCGGGUUGGGCCUACAGAGUGUAUGACGUUUUUGUGGGCCAGUUGGUCUAAGCUACUAGCUGGCGUCAUGGCGAGAAGUGUGUUGGUAUUACGUCCAGAUCGACGAAGAAAGCUGUUUUCAUUACACACAGGGCUACCUAAAUGGGAAAUUGAUCUGCAACCAGAGGCACGCUUAUUCCUGUAACACUCUCAAGGCAACACCUGGUUCUCACCAUACAGGCAGGGACACUAGCCAACUCUGAACUGAGGUCCACAGCAUUUAGACAGCCGGAGUUCCUUGGAUUAAAACUACAUUACCUCCUUUCGACAGCACAUCAGGCGCCCACAGCCUACCAGAAGCGAAAUGAUACUGCCCCAGACAGCAGUUACCGCAGAACAAUUUGAACGUUGUGAGGCACUGGGCCCUGCUGGAGACACAUCUCUCGGACCGUGGACUCGGUGAAUUUCCAUAUUCGAUUUCAGGGAGCGACAAGAGGUGCUGUUGGGGAAUGUUUUGAACAGAUGGGCUUUGCAUGUUCCAUGUCAACAAAAAUUCUGGAAUGUACACACAGCAAAGCAAGCUUAAAAAAAGGGCUGCAUUUAUAGGCAUUCAUCUGAUCGACAUUUAUAAUGGAGUGUAUGCCUGGACUGGUGGGGAGAAAGCAUAAUGGCAAGACCUCAGGGAGUAGGUUUGCAAGCUUCCAGAUUUUUACCACUAUAGUGCAUUCAGCAUGUGUCCAGUUGGGUAAUAUAAUCUGGCAAAAUGGCCUUCUUCCUGUGGCUGGGUUUAUUCAUUUAUUUAGAAUCUAUAGAUAAGUCUAAUUUAAUUAUCCAGAGGCAAUAAAUCUAGGCAGACCUGGAGCCAAACAUCCAGGAUCAAUCACACCUGGGACCAAUGGAAGCAAAUUACUUUUUUAAUGCCUUGAAAAACAGCAGUAAUGGAAAAUGAUAUUUCACUGUGAGGAAUAGUGGCUUUAGAAAUGGUAGAGGGCCAGGAGCCAUGAUUUAUCUCCUCAGAUGAGUCAAUAACAAAAUAAAUAUUGGAUUAUGAAAGCCUUUAAAAAAUGA
Molecule: long non-coding RNA, 1743 nt
Organism: Anguilla anguilla (European eel)
Lineage: Eukaryota; Metazoa; Chordata; Actinopteri; Anguilliformes; Anguillidae
Exons: 7
Source: RefSeq, a predicted model, not a curated record